CCUACGGGAGGCAGCAGUGAGGAAUAUUGGUCAAUGGGCGCAAGCCUGAACCAGCCAAGCCGCGUGAGGGAUGAAGGUUCUAUGGAUCGUAAACUGCUUUUAUAAGGGAAUAAAGUGUGGGACGUGUCCUAUUUUGUAUGUACCUUAUGAAUAAGGAUCGGCUAACUCCGUGCCAGCAGCCGCGGUAAUACGGAGGAUCCGAGCGUUAUCCGGAUUUAUUGGGUUUAAAGGGUGCGUAGGCGGCAUUGUAAGUCAGCGGUGAAAGUCUGUGGCUCAACCACGGGAUUGCCUUUGAUACUGGGGGGCUUGAGUGUGUUUGAGGCAGGCGGAAUGCGUGGUGUAGCGGUGAAAUGCUUAGAUAUCACGCAGAACCCCGAUUGCGAAGGCAGCCUGCCAAGCCAUGACUGACGCUGAUGCACGAAAGCGUGGGGAGCAAACAGGAUUAGAUACCCGGGUAGUC
This 460-nucleotide ribosomal RNA is filed under the name uncultured bacterium. Its description in RNAcentral is "partial 16S ribosomal RNA". It matches the Rfam family "Bacterial small subunit ribosomal RNA", at positions 338 to 795 of the family's 1533-position model. The record is from RNAcentral.